AGUGAACGCUGGCGGCGUGCCUAAUACAUGCAAGUCGAACGGAGUGGCGCACGGGUGAGUAAUAUAUAGCUUAUCUGCCUCUUGCUGGAGGACAACAGUUAGAAAUGACUGCUAAUACUCCAUAGCAAGGGAUGAGACUAUAUCGUUUUAGCUAGUCGGUGGGGUAACGGCCUACCGAGGCUAUGACGCGUAACUGGUCUGAGAGGAUGAUCAGUCACAUUGGAACUGAGACACGGUCCAAACUCCUACGGGAGGUGGCAGUAGGGAAUAGUGCGCAAUGGGAGAAACCCUGAGGCAGCAACGCCGCGUGGAGGAUAACACUUUUCGGAGCGUAAACUCCUUUUGUUAGGGUAGCGGUACCUAACGUAUAAGCACUGGCGAACUCCGUGCCAGCAGCCGCGGUAAUUC
Molecule: ribosomal RNA, 408 nt
Filed under: uncultured bacterium
Lineage: Bacteria
Description: partial 16S ribosomal RNA
Rfam family: Bacterial small subunit ribosomal RNA
Source: RNAcentral